Molecule: unclassified non-coding RNA, 520 nt
Filed under: uncultured Glomeromycotina
Lineage: Eukaryota; Fungi; Glomeromycota
Description: SSU rRNA
Rfam family: Eukaryotic small subunit ribosomal RNA
Source: RNAcentral
CCAAUAGCGUAUAUUAAAGUUGUUGCAGUUAAAAAGCUCGUAGUUGAAUUUCGGGAUCAAUUUAUUGGUCGUGCUAUUGUACGUACUGGUAUUAUUGAUUCCUACCUUCUGACGAACCAUGAUGUCAUUAAUUUGGUGUCUUGGGGAAUCAGGACUGUUACUUUGAAAAAAUUAGAGUGUUUAAAGCAGGCUCACGCUUGAAUACAUUAGCAUGGAAUAACGAAAUAGGACGUUUGAUUCUAUUUUGUUGGUUUCUAGGAUCGACGUAAUGAUUAAUAGGGAUAGUUGGGGGCAUUAGUAUUCAAUUGUCAGAGGUGAAAUUCUUGGAUUUAUUGAAGACUAACUACUGCGAAAGCAUUUGCCAAGGAUGUUUUCAUUAAUCAAGAACGAAAGUUAGGGGAUCGAAGACGAUCAGAUACCGUCGUAGUCUUAACCAUAAACUAUGCCGACUAGGGAUCGGAUGAUGUUAAUUUUUUAAUGACUCAUUCGGCGCCUUACGGGAAACCAAGUGUUUGGGUUC